Molecule: transfer RNA, 86 nt
Filed under: Hymenobacter cellulosilyticus
Lineage: Bacteria; Pseudomonadati; Bacteroidota; Cytophagia; Cytophagales; Hymenobacteraceae
Rfam family: tRNA
About the family: Transfer RNA (tRNA) molecules are approximately 80 nucleotides in length. Their secondary structure includes four short double-helical elements and three loops (D, anti-codon, and T loops).
Source: Rfam by way of RNAcentral
AGAGAGGUGGCAGAGUGGUCGAAUGCGACGGAUUCGAAAUCCGUUAUACCGGCAACGGUAUCGGGGUUCGAAUCCCCCCCUCUCUG